UAGACCUCCUCCUUUCGCUCAGUAAGUGGCUGGUCCAUUAAAGAUAUUGAUGGUACUCACCCCAUUCAUCAUGCUGGCCGAGUCUGUUUCUUGGCUCUGUGACGCUGUUACCAUAUUUAUCCUGUCAACUUACUUGUGAGUUCCUGAGUCUUCAGCUAAGAUGGUGUUGUCUCCUGUUCUAGCAUUACCUGCUGUUUGUUCCUGACUCCCCAGCAACGUUGUCACCACUUUAGCCCUGUGCUCCUGGUUCCUAACUAUCUCUGUGCCGCUUCUGGCUGCCUGACUCACAUGAGUGCUCCCGGGACCAAAGCUCCCCCUUGGUUUUUGUCCCCUAAUCGUUUAAUAAAGACUUUCUAGAUUCUUCCUCGUCCUGCUCUGCAUUUUGGGCCCUAACCUAUUGUGAGAAUUGCAACAGUUUGGAGGUGAUAGUUCAACACAGCCAGGUCUCCCAGGGAUCCUCAUCUGUAUACCAGAAUCAGCAAAAAAAAAAAAAAAAGAUUCAACUGGAAAGCCUCCUCAGGCUUAUAAAGCAUGAAGGUGCUUGAAGGACGCCAUCAUCCCCCCCAAUUGAAGGUUCUCCUGCCCUCUGUGGGCACUGAGCUAAAGCUGUGAACCCUGUCAGCUGUCCACAUUCUAGCAUUAAGUGUCUGCUCUACAUUGUCACAGGGCCUGGCUUUAGCCUGCACCAUCUGGGGUGUUAGAGAGGGGAUACUAAGUCAUCGUUCAUUCUGUCCCAUUCAACCGAACUGUCAGGUCCACUGAGAUGACAGGACAUGAUGGACAGAAAGACAGACUAUGGGAGAUGGGGAACAUGGAGAAGAGGAGGAGCAGAAAGAUAAAGGCACUGUGACAGACAGGAGUAGACGGGCAGUUAAAAAGGAGAGAUGAGAGACCAGGGGGAGAAAAGAUAGACAAGACAGAGCUUGUUGAAAGGGAGAAGAAAGAUCAAGAAAGGGAAAUAGAGACAGAGCGUGGAAUAGAGAGGCUCGGACAGGAAAGGGGGGUUAUCUGUCUUUUAGUUUCAGACAAGGUCUGAUGGUUGCUCUCUUCACUUGUGUCAAGUGCAGCAUCAAUAUAAUGACUUGUUUGAUGCUUGGUCUCUGUGGCCCGGCAAACUGCUGCUAUUAUAACAGCAGACAGACGGCCAAUGUCAUGUCUGCUGUCUCUUUGGACCCAAAACGCCCAAGUGGUAUGGACCCAGUGAAAAACAUUGAUCAGUCUCAUGAGUCUGUGUGCCUCUUCACGUCAGCUUAGUGAUCAUAUUUUAUUUUUAAAUAUUGUUCUAAUGCAUUUCUUGA
Molecule: long non-coding RNA, 1298 nt
Organism: Monopterus albus (swamp eel)
Lineage: Eukaryota; Metazoa; Chordata; Actinopteri; Synbranchiformes; Synbranchidae
Exons: 3
Source: RefSeq, a predicted model, not a curated record